GAGGCCUGAAAUGUUCAUGAAAGGAGACUCGGUGAGGCCUGGAGUUCUCGUCCUUGUAAAUGACACUGAUUGGGAACUAAGUGGCCAGCUUGAAACUGUGCUGGAAGAGAAGGAUAAUGUAGUUUUCAUCUCAACAUUGCAUGGUGGUUGACAUUUAUACUUCACGAGCUUCUGGAACUCGAGUCUAAGAGAACUCUGGUCAUUAAUUAUGUCAUGUACUAGUCGGAUUGAGUUUUAAAAAAACAAACAUAAUGAAGUGUAUUAAAUGUAUUAUGCUA
RNAcentral lists this unclassified non-coding RNA (278 nucleotides) under Hevea brasiliensis (rubber tree). The record is from RNAcentral. Lineage: Eukaryota; Viridiplantae; Streptophyta; Magnoliopsida; Malpighiales; Euphorbiaceae.